CAGUCGCCACGGUAAUACGUAGGGUGCAAGCGUUAAUCGGAAUUACUGGGCGUAAAGCGCGCGUAGGUGGUUCGCCAAGUUGGAUGUGAAAUCCCCGGGCUCAACCUGGGAACUGCAUCCAAAACUGGCGAGCUAGAGUAUGGUAGAGGGUGGUGGAAUUUCCUGUGUAGCGGUGAAAUGCGUAGAUAUAGGAAGGAACAUCAGUGGCGAAGGCGACCACCUGGACUGAUACUGACACUGAGGUGCGAAAGCGUGGGGAGCAAACAGGAUUAGAGACCCCAGUAGUCCCUGUCUCUUAUAC
Molecule: ribosomal RNA, 301 nt
Filed under: uncultured bacterium
Lineage: Bacteria
Description: partial 16S ribosomal RNA
Rfam family: Bacterial small subunit ribosomal RNA
Source: RNAcentral